UUAACUAAAUAUUGGAGCAAUAUUCCGGAUACGGUGAACUUCAUGAAUUAGAGACCAAGUUUUAGGUGCACCAUGAUUAGAGAAUCAUUGGACAAGAGUUGUCCACUCAUCGGUUGACCCAUCAUCAAUAACUGUUAGGUGAGGUGAUGAGCCAGUUGGUGAGACCGCACCACCCACUAGAAAUCACUGAUCACGGAGAUUUUCACAUCUCU
This 212-nucleotide long non-coding RNA is filed under the name Elaeis guineensis (African oil palm). RNAcentral's name for it is "long non-coding RNA (EGUI_LNC081319)". The record is from RNAcentral. Lineage: Eukaryota; Viridiplantae; Streptophyta; Magnoliopsida; Arecales; Arecaceae.